AGAGUUUGAUCCUGGCUCAGGAUGAACGCUGGCUGCGUGCCUAAUACAUGCAUGUUGAACGAAGCUAAAAGUGCUUGCACUUUAAGACUUAGUAGCGAAUGGGUGAGUAACACGUACUUAACCUACCCCCAAGUUUGGGAUAACGUUUGGAAACGAACGCUAAUACCGAAUACGUAUUUUUAUCGCAUGAUAGAAAUAUAAAAGGAGCUUCGGCUUCGCUAGGGGAUGGGAGUGCGCUACAUUAGUUAGUUGGUAGGGUAAUGGCCUACCAAGACUAUGAUGUAUAGCGGGGCCGAGAGGCUGAUCCGCCACACUGGGACUGAGAUACGGCCCAGACUCCUACGGGAGGCAGCAGUAGGGAAUUUUCCACAAUGAACGAAAGUUUGAUGGAGCGACACAGCGUGCAGGAUGAAGGUCUUCGGAUCGUAAACUGCUGUUAUAAGGGAAGAAAAACUUUAGUAGGUAAUGACUAGAACUUGACGGUACCUUAUCAGAAAGCGACGGCUAACUAUGUGCCAGCAGCCGCGGUAAU
RNAcentral lists this ribosomal RNA (532 nucleotides) under uncultured bacterium. RNAcentral's name for it is "bacterial SSU rRNA". It matches the Rfam family "Bacterial small subunit ribosomal RNA", at positions 8 to 524 of the family's 1533-position model. The record is from RNAcentral.